AUUUACCAAGCCCUGGAGUCUGGCCCAUUUUCCCUGAAAAAAUGGCAGGCAUUUUGUUUUUUUUGGGCUCCACGAUGCCACCCAUUUUCUUUUUUUCCUUCCAAAAGGGUGGUCUGUGUCAAUUAUUACAAUUGUCAGCAAAGAAUCUUGAGAAAUUUACUUCAAGAGAAUAUUGCUGUUGCACAGAGUUUGAUCUUCUAUCUUCUCUUACUCUCUAAAUAUACAACUUAAUUAGAUGAUUUCUGGUUUGUUAAAUAUUGAAUUUGAGGAAAUUAAUGGCCAUUAUUAGCAAAGUUUAAGUAAUUUAUUGAUUACUUGAUAGGGAGAUGAUAGCAUCAUUUGAAUGCGAAACUUUUGGGAUUUGAUCACUGGUCACUCCAAUCACUUUUGUCAGGGACGAUGCCGAAAAUCAAUCUUCCAGGGACAAUGUCGAAACUCGUCCAAGUUGAAGCCGCUGAUGUUUGCGUGAUUAAGGUUUCCGCAGCAACGAAGAGGAAGACGCAACUGGGUUAAGAGAACGAAGAGGAAGGAAGAAGCAAGGUUCUGUUUUUUUAACUUUAUACAAGCCCAAAUGAUAUCGUUUCACAGCAAAGCAGGAAAAAAAAUAAAAGU
RNAcentral lists this long non-coding RNA (612 nucleotides) under Citrus maxima (pomelo). RNAcentral's name for it is "long non-coding RNA (CMAX_LNC002572)". The record is from RNAcentral. Lineage: Eukaryota; Viridiplantae; Streptophyta; Magnoliopsida; Sapindales; Rutaceae.